Molecule: ribosomal RNA, 89 nt
Filed under: Mesocricetus auratus (golden hamster)
Lineage: Eukaryota; Metazoa; Chordata; Mammalia; Rodentia; Cricetidae
Source: RNAcentral
GUCUAUGGCCACACUACCCUGAUCACCACCAGAUGCUGUAUGAUUACAGAAGUUAAGCAGGGUAGGGCAUGAUUAGGUCUCUAUGAACA